RNAcentral lists this ribosomal RNA (326 nucleotides) under uncultured Intrasporangiaceae bacterium. Its description in RNAcentral is "bacterial SSU rRNA". It matches the Rfam family "Bacterial small subunit ribosomal RNA", at positions 28 to 352 of the family's 1533-position model. The record is from RNAcentral. Lineage: Bacteria; Bacillati; Actinomycetota; Actinomycetes; Micrococcales; Intrasporangiaceae.
GAUGAACGCUGGCGGCGUGCUUAACACAUGCAAGUCGAACGGUGACGAUCGAGCUUGCUUGGUCUGAUCAGUGGCGAACGGGUGAGUAACACGUGAGUAACCUGCCCCAGACUCUGGGAUAACCCCGGGAAACCGGAGCUAAUACCGGAUACGACACCAGGCUGCAUGGCCAUAGUGUGGAAAGUUUUUCGGUCUGGGAUGGACUCGCGGCCUAUCAGCUUGUUGGUGAGGUAAUGGCUCACCAAGGCGACGACGGGUAGCCGGCCUGAGAGGGCGACCGGCCACACUGGGACUGAGACACGGCCCAGACUCCUACGGGAGGCAGC